UGCAGUCGAGCGAACAGAAGGGAGCUUGCUCCCGGAUGUUAGCGGCGGACGGGUGAGUAACACGUGGGUAACCUGCCUGUAAGACUGGGAUAACUCCGGGAAACCGGAGCUAAUACCGGAUAGUUCCUUGAACCGCAUGGUUCAAGGAUGAAAGACGGUUUCGGCUGUCACUUACAGAUGGACCCGCGGCGCAUUAGCUAGUUGGUGGGGUAAUGGCUCACCAAGGCGACGAUGCGUAGCCGACCUGAGAGGGUGAUCGGCCACACUGGGACUGAGACACGGCCCAGACUCCUACGGGAGGCAGCAGUAGGGAAUCUUCCGCAAUGGACGAAAGUCUGACGGAGCAACGCCGCGUGAGUGAUGAAGGUUUUCGGAUCGUAAAGCUCUGUUGUUAGGGAAGAACAAGUGCGAGAGUAACUGCUCGCACCUUGACGGUACCUAACCAGAAAGCCACGGCUAACUAC
Molecule: ribosomal RNA, 464 nt
Filed under: Bacillus pumilus
Lineage: Bacteria; Bacillati; Bacillota; Bacilli; Caryophanales; Bacillaceae
Description: bacterial SSU rRNA
Rfam family: Bacterial small subunit ribosomal RNA
Source: RNAcentral